RNAcentral lists this ribosomal RNA (456 nucleotides) under uncultured bacterium. RNAcentral describes it as "bacterial SSU rRNA". It matches the Rfam family "Bacterial small subunit ribosomal RNA", at positions 328 to 793 of the family's 1533-position model. The record is from RNAcentral.
CUCUGUGACUCCUACGGGAGGCAGCAGUGGGGGAAUAUUGCACAAUGGGCGCAAGCCUGAUGCAGCAACGCCGUGUGAGUGAAGAAGGUUUUCGGAUCGUAAAACUCUGUCCUAAGGGAAGAAACAAAUGACGGUACCUUAGGAGGAAGCCCCGGCUAACUACGUGCCAGCAGCCGCGGUAAUACGUAGGGGGCAAGCGUUAUCCGGAAUCACUGGGCGUAAAGGGUGCGUAGGCGGCUUAGCAAGCCAGGGGUGAAAGGCAUUGGCUCAACCAAUGUAAGCCUUUGGUAACUGUUAAGCUUGAGUGCAGGAGAGGUAAGUGGAAUUCCUAGUGUAGAGGUGAAAAUUCGUAGAUAUUAGGAGGAACACCAGUGGCGAAGGCGACUUACUCGGACUGUAAACUGACGCUGAUGCACGAAAGCGUGGGUAGCGAACAGGAUUAGAUACCCUCGGUAG